UACAGAGGGGGCAAGCGUUGUUCGGAAUUACUGGGCGUAAAGGGCGCGUAGGCGGCCUUCUAAGUCGAACGUGAAAUCCCCGGGCUCAACCCGGGAACUGCGUCCGAUACUGGAAGGCUGGAAUCCGGGAGAGGGAUGCGGAAUUCCAGGUGUAGCGGUGAAAUGCGUAGAUAUCUGGAGGAACACCGGUGGCGAAGGCGGCAUCCUGGACCGGCAUUGACGCUGAGGCGCGAAAGCGUGGGGAGCAAACGGG
This 253-nucleotide ribosomal RNA is filed under the name uncultured bacterium. RNAcentral describes it as "partial 16S ribosomal RNA". It matches the Rfam family "Bacterial small subunit ribosomal RNA", at positions 524 to 776 of the family's 1533-position model. The record is from RNAcentral.